GACGUAGGUGGCGAACGUUAUCCGGAAUUAUUGGGCGUAAAGGGUGCGUAGAUGGCCUAGUAAGUUAUCGGUGGGAAAUCGAGGCCCAACCUCGUGGAAGCUGGUAAUACUGUUAGGCUUGAGUUCAGGAGAGGUUAACGGAACUCCAUGUGGAGCGGUAAAAUGCGUAGAUAUCUGGAGGAACACCGGUGGCGAAGGCGGCAUCCUGGACCGGUAUUGACGCUGAGGCGCGAAAGCUAGGGGAGCAAACGGG
Molecule: ribosomal RNA, 253 nt
Filed under: uncultured bacterium
Lineage: Bacteria
Description: partial 16S ribosomal RNA
Rfam family: Bacterial small subunit ribosomal RNA
Source: RNAcentral